RNAcentral lists this ribosomal RNA (440 nucleotides) under uncultured bacterium. RNAcentral describes it as "bacterial SSU rRNA". It matches the Rfam family "Bacterial small subunit ribosomal RNA", at positions 338 to 776 of the family's 1533-position model. The record is from RNAcentral.
CCUACGGGUGGCAGCAGUAGGGAAUAUUGGGCAAUGGACGAAAGUCUGACCCAGCCAUGCCGCGUGCAGGAAGAAGGCCUUCUGGGUUGUAAACUGCUUUUGAUCGGGAACAAAGAGCCCUUGCGAGGGAAGUUGAGUGUACCGAUAGAAUAAGCACCGGCUAACUCCGUGCCAGCAGCCGCGGUAAUACGGAGGGUGCAAGCGUUGUCCGGAUUUAUUGGGUUUAAAGGGUGCGUAGGCGGCUUUUUAAGUCAGUGGUGAAAUCCUGCAGCUUAACUGCAGAACUGCCGUUGAUACUGGAAAGCUUGAGUACAGACGAGGUAGGCGGAAUUUAUGGUGUAGCGGUGAAAUGCAUAGAUACCAUAAAGAACACCGAUUGCGAAGGCAGCUUACUAGACUGUAACUGACGCUGAGGCACGAAAGCGUGGGGAUCAAACAGG